This 6258-nucleotide long non-coding RNA is filed under the name Homo sapiens (human). Its description in RNAcentral is "HSALNT0405960". The record is from RNAcentral. Lineage: Eukaryota; Metazoa; Chordata; Mammalia; Primates; Hominidae.
UUGCACCACUGCACUCCAGCCUGGGCGAUACAGUGAGACCCAGUCUCAAAAAAAAAAAAAAAAGAGUCUUUUUUGAUGGUGGACAUCUUCCAAUGAGCAUUCACAUGGGACAGAUUUUUUUUUAGUUCUACCGUUGUUCUGAAAGCUCUAUGUAUGUUCCUCUUCCCUAAAAAUCUUUGUCACCAAGCCUCCAGAUUUAUUCCUUCUAAAAUGUUGAAAUUCCAGCUAAUUCCUUAGUUGUUACCCAGGAAACAAUGCAGAUCCUGGUCCGAGGAUGCAGCUCCUUCCAGGCAGCCUGGACUGUGAGGUGUGCUCCAUUGCUCUUCAGGAACCGUCCUUGAGAGGCGUUCCACAGCAGGCCAGACCUGGGGGGAGCAGGUGGGCCAGGCGGAAAGCACAGCACAAUUUGAGAGAUGCUGAGUACUCAUGACUCUGUGUAAGCACCUGAAUUCAGCCCUCAUGGUCUUUUCUGAGCUGUCAGUCAUUUAUCUCUAUUUAGUCAUUUUGCGAAUUGGAGUUAGCUUCCUUCCCUCUACACUCAAAGACGGCAUGUCAACAUUUUAGGCCUCUGGGUGGAAUGAACUCCCAGUUUCCUGGGAGGGAGCUGAUUGGCAUCUAUUCGCCUCUUCCUAGUUUUGUGGGGUUUCCCAGCAUGUGGAGUCAUAGAGAAAGACUGGUCCCACCUUCUAUGUAAUGCCCAAGAGAAUAGAUGACUCUCUGUCCACCCCCACCCUGGCAUCCAGGGCUUCUGGACAAGACCUAGGCUGGCUAAUUGGCUGCUUCCACAUGGGAUCCUGAAUCUGGAGCAAGUGAGGCAAAGCCCAGGGUGCUUAGAAUCCAUUCUCAGUGAGAGCAGCAGGACUGCCCGGGAGGGGAAUAGAGACGGGGACGACCGAGUCCUGCACCAGCAGAGAUGACGUCCGCAGGUGGCGGGGCAGCGCUGUGGCCGUGUCACUCCUCACAAAGCAGGGCUCUUGUGCUCGCAGCCUUCGAUACCGUCUCACUGUCUUGGCUUCUAUUUAUCUUCCAAGCCAAUUUCCAGCCUCCUACACACGUGGGGUUCUUCUGGUAUCAUUCCAGUGAAUUUCAUGUUGUUUUCUGCCCUAAGAAAACAGAGUUGGUACCUCUGCUCGACCAAGAAGCCUGAUUGAUACAGACUGAGAGCUGCAGGCUGUGUUUAUUUGCUUCAUUAACAAGAACAACUUAGGAAUGGCAACUUCCAUUGAUGAGCUUCCUACUUUGUUCUGCGGUUGGAAAACAAACAGUUGUUUCCCUGUUGACGACUGGCCACACUGGAGAGGUGAACAGUUCACUCUCAAGGCCAUACUGACUUGAACACUGGCUGUCUAGAAACAGAGAGGCAGGCAGCGGCAGACAGGAAGAGAGAUGGAGCAGAGUCCUCCAGCGGGAGCUGCACCUCGGAAGCAUCCUUAGAUGCGGCUUGGAGUUGGGAUCCUUCAAUUCCCCUCAGGAGAGUCAGCCAAAAAUAUCAACAGCCACAAUUUAUUGGACGCCUUCAGGAGAAAUGUCAAAGGCCUUUGUCCAAAGUGAGUGGUCCUGCUUCAUGUCCCAGCAUUCCUUGUCCCCUUUCCACAAGCUGAGAGCAGGUGCUCCCCAGAAUGAGGGGGGUGAGAAGGGUUCACUAUUGCUCUGUCCACCUCUCAACACAAAACAUGAUUCUACCUGUACCAAUUAUCCUGAGGCUUUGUGGUCUGCAACCAACCCUUUGGUGCCAAUUUUUCUAUUAGGUAGGACCCUUUGGAUGCAAGUAGAACAUAGCAAAGCAAAACCAAGACAAAAGCAAAUGCAAAAACAAAAACAAAUGAAAAAUCUUAAAAAAUCUUCCCGCUACCUCAAGAGUGGAGGCAUAUAUUUGAAUGAUCCAGAGAGAAAGCUCACAGAAUUAAAGAAAUCCUUGGGUGGGUGGGCGUGCGUGCACAUUUUUUAAAAACAGGCUUAGGGAAGACCAGGGACCCAGAAAGCCUCAGGGCUCUCAGCGGUAGGGAACGAGCUACACUCAAGGCCUCAGCUCCACUGCCUGCUGCCUCCAAGGGUUUUCUUUCAGGUCCUCCAAUUUCCAGGGGAGAGACUCAGAUGGGUCCCGGGGGCUAGAGGACAGAGUAAAGAAGGCACUGUCACACCAGGGGGAUGUGAGCUGAGCAGGCAGGCCCCCUAACCUGGGCCUUUUCGGAAGCCCCCUCCUCAUCCCCGUGGGAGCAGUGGGGGAAAGGGGCCUCUGCCCCCUGCCCACCUCCCUUACUAGUGUCUCCCUAGCUGCUCCCUGCAGAGCCUAGGCUCUGCAGUCAUGGGGUCCGCAUUGUCCUGGUGGGUGGAGUGCCUGAGCCUCAAAAGCCCCACCUGUGCUUUUCACUCCCUACUGCAUGAUUGAGAAGCAGACCUACUUCGCGAUUGAGAAGCAGAUUAAGGCUUUCCCCUUCCCCAUCAAGGUAUCUUUUUUUCUUCCUUCUUUCUUCCUCAGACCCCAUCUGGUGUCCCUUCUCUCCUCCUCUCCCGCUCCAUUCACCUGCCCUCUGUCUCAGGUCUCUCUACCAGCGUCUGGCAGCUGGGGAGGCUGGUGGGCUGCCCUGGUCCCAUGGCUGAUUGGAAAAAUCCUGUGGCUCCAGGGAGCCGGCUUUUUAGAUGCUGGUGGGGAGGAGCCUCACCUCGCUUCCAGGCCUGCGUUUCACCCCAGGACUCAUUAGGAGAAUUUCUGCACCAGGGUUAGAAGAGAAUUCAUCGCAUGUUUUCCCUACUGUAAUAAGCGAGACCCUUCUUUCUUUCCUUGUGCCUGGCGACCACAGCAGGAAGGCAGGAAGGUGCCUGCAGAUUCCCAGGAACAAAGCUGCUCCCAGAACCCUCACAUAGUAGGGUGACUCUUAGGAUAAGAAAUGUAUAUCCACGGGCUAGGAUUUGGGAACCAAGGGACGACGUGGCAAUCCAGGGCUCGUAGUGAGGGUGCAGCAGCCAGGACUGGGGCAAAGACAGAUGUCUGAUGAUUGUAAAAUGAGAUGAUUUCUAUUCAGUUCAGUUCUAUGUGAGGCUGUACUCAAAAGAGGUGAUGUUGUUAUUCAGGCUUCCUAAUCUUUGGUGAGUAAAACAAUUGUUGAUUCCCACAGCUUGUUUUCUUCUUGCCAGCUUUCUCCCAUCGUGUGAUAGACCAAAACCUUGAACUGGAAAAUCUCUGUGGUGUUCUACAAGAGCUAGGGACCCUUAGGUGUGAGAUUUGGAGACUUUCAAUGGUUAGACUUGGCCUAAGCAGCAAUAGAUCAGUCACCCCAAAUUCUCUCCUUUGUCUUCUUUUAAUGUCGUCCUCCAUCAAGGAAGGAACCAGAUUGGGGCCAACCUUUCAGACGGAUGUCCAUGGGAUGCUCGAGCUGCCUUUCCCCAACAAGUGGUGUCAACAGGGAUCUGGAGAGGUCGUGUGCUGGCCUCCAGGGGGUACCCCAGGGAACGGUGGGAUGUGAGAGUGACAGACCAGGAGGAUGGGGGCCUUUAUCAGUCAAGUGCUGUUCUGUCCCCACCAUCCUUUAGCUGGUGAAUAAUCUCAGGGGGAUUAUUAAAAGCCCAGAAGCAAAGAAGCAUUUGAAAGGUCCGUAUCUAGGAGUCUGGUUUCUCAGAGGAUCAGGGAGGGAUAAGAUUGGCUAAAAGACAGAUUUGGGACUUACUAUCAGAAAAGAAUCACUAGGAAAAUCUAAUAUUGGUACAUGGAAAAGCAACAUGUGGAUUGAAUGAUGGGAUUUCCUGUGAAGAAAAGGUAAGGCAUGCAAGCCAGACAGGACAGAAUGAUGGGCGAAAAUCAAGCCACGCACCUCAAACUCCUCUCGAGCUGAGAUCCAGAAAGACAGGGGCAUGGAAUUGCUGCUGGGUCUGGCAGGGGGCAAGAGCCAAACAGAUGAAGGGUACAUGUGACUGCCAUUCAGGGCCACGAUAGAGGAAAUGAUCAGAAGUCACUUUCUAGAGGCUGUAGAUGGGAGUUUGAUAAGGACCAUGGGGGACAGCUGAGAUCUGGGCAGAUUUGAGAAGGGAGAGCAGAACAGACUGCGUCAAAAGUGGAUCCGUGAGUUUCCUGGCGACCCAGGUAUAGAAGGGAUGCAGGAGUGGCCUGUACUUUCAGAAGCACAUGCAGGAGGAUGCUGGUCUGGGACUGGAGAUGAAAGAGGUCCAGAGAAAAUGGGACACGCUCAGACAGGGGAGCUGUGGGUGGAGUUCAGGACAAAGUCUGAUGUAAGGCUCAUGGAAGACCUUCCUGAAGGAAUUGCCCCUCUCCAGGAAGUAAGGAGGGUGGAUUUGUUUCCACAGUGGGAAUUCCUGGCAGGUCCAGAACUUCUUGACUUUCUGUCUCUCAAUACUGUAGACCUGCAAGAUGGAUAACAGAGGCAUUAGGGAAACUGAUGCCUACGCCACAAAGUUUAAAUACAGCACAAGGAAAGAAGCUACUUUGAUCCAGAAAACACUGCUAACCCCAUCCAAGACUGAGAUGGAGCAGGGCCCUAUGGGGUGAGAUAAGCGUCUGAGGAGCAGGCUGCAGGGAGGAAUGUUCCAGCUGCCACUGAAGCAACACACGAGGCUGAGGCUUGAAAGCUCAAAGGCCGAGGGAGCCGUAGCUUUGGGAAGGAGCAGCUGAUGGGGACGAUGGGUCACCUAAGCCGAGCUGUACCCUCGUCUGCUCCACCUCGAGUUUGAAUUCAACAAGUCUAUUGCUCCAGUGUUUUCUGAAUUAUCUGCAUAUUCAGAAUUCAGCCUGCGGAGCCUCAGCUCUUCUGAAUAUUUAAAUGACGCUCAGUUGCGAUCUGCAUCUCUCAUCAUGGUGUCUGACCCAAAGAUCACAAAGCUGAAGUCUAGCAAAUGACAGGAAGAACUAAGAGAAAGUGCUGCUGCAAAAAGAGUUUAAUGAGAGGGAAACUGAGGCUCUGAGAGAGGAGUGACUUGUCCAGGGUCCUGUGAUGGGAGACUGAGCAGAGUGGGAAUGAGACUGAGUUGGAGUGGAGUUGGCCUCCACUCUGUUUACUAAGAGCUGUGUGUCCCUAGGUAAGUCACUUUCCCUCUCUGGGCCUCAGGUUUUUUACCUGAUAGAUGGGCUUAGAGUCUCUUCUGCUGAUCCCCCAGGGUUGCAGGCAGCCAGUGAGGUUCUGAGUACUGUAGAGGGGAUGCUCUCAGCAGUAGUGGCGGUGGUAGGGAGUUGGGAUUGCAAACCCAGAGGCCAGCAGAGGCCAGGCAGGAACUGGAUUGAACUGGAAACUCAAGCUGUCCACUUGGGUCCAGUCAGGAUGGAUACUGAUAGAAGUGGGGGUCUCAUGUUGCCCACCUCAUGUUUAAGAAGAUUCUAGAAUUAUAGAUUAUUUGAUGUGAAAUUUCCUUAAAUGUAAAUGUUGGUAAAUAAAGUAACUAUUUAAACGAUAUACAUGCAAACACACAUUUGCACACACACGCCUUACACACAAUGGCUGGUCAGAUUUAGUGCAUAGCCAGCCAGCUGGUUUUCUGCUUUGGAAUUAUAGGCUGCUAAUUUUUUUAUUUUUUCUAGACAUGGUCUUGCUUUGUCACCCAGGCUGGAGUGCAGUGGCGUGAACACAGCUCAUUGCAGCCUUGACCUCCUGAGCCCAAACAGUCCUCCCAUCCCAGCCCAGCCCAGCAAAUAACUGGGAUGACUGGCAUGUACCACCAAGACUCACUAAUUGUUGUAUGUUUGUAGAGACGGGGUUUCACCAUGUUGCCCAGGCUGGUCUCAAACUCCAGAGCUCAGGAAAAACAUUAACAUCUGCCAUUUUUCUAAAUUGAAUGUGAAAGAUGAUCCUGACAGGCUGAACAAAGAUGCUUGCUCUCUGUUGUGAUGUUUGACAAGGGAAUCUUCCUUCAUUUUCUCCUCUGAUGAGCCUCUCUACCAGAUAAGCAGCAGCAGGAACCAAACGUUUAAGAAAAAUGUAAAGACAUUAUUUUGUCCAUCACUUAACAUUUUUAUGAACAAGUUGGGAGGUAGCCUGCAUGAAUGCCUCUGUGCAAUGGAAUGAAUGGCCGGAGAUCUCACCAUCCCAGGAUGACUUUGGGGAAGGAAGACCCAAACAGCCCACUAUCACAUGCUGUCCUGCCUGCCUCAGGCCUCCUGUCCUUCUCUCCCUUGUGACCUGCAAACUAACCUUGAGGACUCAUGUCAACUGUCACUGCAUUGGAAGCCCUCUGUGAUAGUUAAUAUUGAGUGUCAACUUGAUUGGAUUGAAGGAUGCAAAGUAUUGUUCCUGGGUGUGUCUGUGAGGGUGUGGC